GAUUAAGUUAUUAAGGGCGCACGGUGGAUGCCUUGGCACUAGAAGCCGAUGAAGGACGUUACUAACGACGAUAUGCUUUGGGGAGCUGUAAGUAAGCUUUGAUCCAGAGAUUUCCGAAUGGGGAAACCCAGCAUGAGUUAUGUCAUGUUAUCGAUAUGUGAAUACAUAGCAUAUCAGAAGGCACACCCGGAGAACUGAAACAUCUUAGUACCCGGAGGAAGAGAAAGAAAAUUCGAUUCCCUUAGUAGCGGCGAGCGAAACGGGAAGAGCCCAAACCAACAAGCUUGCUUGUUGGGGUUGUAGGACACUCUAUACGGAGUUACAAAGGACGACAUUAGACGAAUCAUCUGGAAAGAUGAAUCAAAGAAGGUAAUAAUCCUGUAGUCGAAAAUGUUGUCUCUCUUGAGUGGAUCCUGAGUACGACGGAGCACGUGAAAUUCCGUCGGAAUCUGGGAGGACCAUCUCCUAAGGCUAAAUACUCUCUAGUGACCGAUAGUGAACCAGUACCGUGAGGGAAAGGUGAAAAGCACCCCGGAAGGGGAGUGAAAUAGAACCUGAAACCGUGUGCUUACAAGUAGUCAGAGCCCGUUAAUGGGUGAUGGCGUGCCUUUUGUAGAAUGAACCGGCGAGUUACGAUUUGAUGCAAGGUUAAGCAGUAAAUGUGGAGCCGUAGCGAAAGCGAGUCUGAAUAGGGCGUUUAGUAUUUGGUCGUAGACCCGAAACCAGGUGAUCUACCCUUGGUCAGGUUGAAGUUCAGGUAACACUGAAUGGAGGACCGAACCGACUUACGUUGAAAAGUGAGCGGAUGAACUGAGGGUAGCGGAGAAAUUCCAAUCGAACCUGGAGAUAGCUGGUUCUCUCCGAAAUAGCUUUAGGGCUAGCCUCAAGUGAUGAUUAUUGGAGGUAGAGCACUGUUUGGACGAGGGGCCCCUCUCGGGUUACCGAAUUCAGACAAACUCCGAAUGCCAAUUAAUUUAACUUGGGAGUCAGAACAUGGGUGAUAAGGUCCGUGUUCGAAAGGGAAACAGCCCAGACCACCAGCUAAGGUCCCAAAAUAUAUGU
RNAcentral lists this ribosomal RNA (1062 nucleotides) under Staphylococcus aureus. Its description in RNAcentral is "partial 23S ribosomal RNA". It matches the Rfam family "Bacterial large subunit ribosomal RNA", at positions 1 to 1059 of the family's 2925-position model. The record is from RNAcentral. Lineage: Bacteria; Bacillati; Bacillota; Bacilli; Caryophanales; Staphylococcaceae.